RNAcentral lists this unclassified non-coding RNA (401 nucleotides) under uncultured Cenococcum. RNAcentral describes it as "sequence contains ITS1, 5.8S rRNA gene and ITS2". The stretch from base 51 to 204 matches the Rfam family "5.8S ribosomal RNA". Lineage: Eukaryota; Fungi; Ascomycota; Dothideomycetes; Gloniales; Gloniaceae. The record is from RNAcentral.
UCAAAACUCCUGUUUUACCGGUGUUGUCUGAGCUACAAGCAACGAAUCAAAACUUUCAACAACGGAUCUCUUGGUUCUGGCAUCAAUGAAUAACCCAGCGAAAUGCUAUAAGUAGUGUGAAUUGCAAAAUUCAGUGAAUCAUCGAAUCUUUGAACGCACUUUGCGCCCCUUGGUAUCCCGAGGGGUAUGCCUGUUCGAGCGCCCUUUCACCACUCAAGCCUGGCUUGGUGUUGGGCGACGUCCCCCUUUAUGGACGCGCCUCGAAACGCUGGGCGUUUUGGCACCGGCUUUAAGCGUAGCACAAUCUUUCGCUUUGAAAGUCGGGGCCCCGUCUGCCGGAAGACCUACUCACAAGGUUGACCUCGGAUCAGGUAGGGAUACCCGUUGAACUUAAGCAUAUC